RNAcentral lists this small RNA (2557 nucleotides) under Pongo abelii (Sumatran orangutan). RNAcentral describes it as "retained intron". Lineage: Eukaryota; Metazoa; Chordata; Mammalia; Primates; Hominidae. The record is from RNAcentral.
CACCGGCAGUUUAUAUAUUUGUCUAUAUCUAGGGUCACAAAAGUAGCGAGUGACAUGACCAGGGCUUGAACACACUUCCUGACUCCUAGUAGUCUCUACCUCAUAUCAGGUCACCCCUACUAAGCCCAGGACUGUGGAUUAUUUUAUUUGCUGACCUUCCUGGGAAUUUAUUGAGUGCCCAUCCUCACAGGAAGGAGUAAACCUCCAAGAAUUGGCUGCCAUUGAUUGGAUUCCAUUCUUUAAGUAAAUCAUGCCCUCAAGCCACUGACUUCUUGGAUUAUAAAAUGAUUUUUAAACUCUGGGCUUAGUCCUUCAGGUACCCUUGAGGGGUUAGAAAGAACUAUAAACCCCAAGAUAGAAACAUAAGGUAGUAUUCCGUAAGUGCUGGGAUGCUCUCCCUUUUGUUUGCCAUUUAAUCCCCACAGAAAGAAUGAUGAUGCAUGCAUGAUUCCAUUCUGUUGCCAUAGAGAUGUACUUUAAGUUCUGAAUUCUAGGUGAUUGUGAAGCGCAGCCCAGAAUUAUUUUGCUGGUUCUGCCUUCAAAGAACUUCCCGUCCACAGGCAAGUGAGGAGCUGUUUCUUGACUUCUGUUGGAAAGCCGUCUGCCACUUUGGGGGUCUCAGGUGGUACAUGGCUCUGUCUUCUCAUACUCCCUCAGCUACUGCUACCUGUAGCUGUUCCUACCUACAGUGGCCCCUGAGGACUUAAACAAUUUUUUCUGACAUAUAUUUAGUGGUACUGCUGGGAAAUGGAAUAAGAUCUGGAAGUUUGUAAGCUGAGGGCAAGCCCAGGUCAUCCUAAAAACCUCGCUAAGUUUAUGGUUCUUUAUUAUUUCAGGUCAGAAAAUUAAUUGUUUUGGAUCCAAAGAAACGGCUGACUACCUUUCAAGCUCUCCAGCAUCCGUGGGUCACAGGUAAAGCAGCCAAUUUUGUACACAUGGAUACCGCUCAAAAGAAGCUCCAAGAAUUCAAUGCCCGGCGUAAGCUUAAGGCAGCGGUGAAGGCUGUGGUGGCCUCUUCCCGCCUGGGAAGUGCCAGCAGCAGCCAUGGCAGCAUCCAGGAGAGCCACAAGGCUAGCCGAGACCCUUCUCCAAUUCAAGACAGCAACGAGGACAUGAAAGCUAUUCCAGAAGGAGAGAAAAUUCAAGGCGAUGGGGCCCAAACCGCAGUUAAGGGGGCACAGGCUGAGCUGAUGAAGGUGCAAGCCUUAGAGAAAGUUAAAGGUGCAGAUAUAAAUGCUGAAGAGGCCCCCAAAAUGGUGCCCAAGGUAGUGGAGGAUGGGAUAAAGGUGGCUGACCUGGAACUAGAGGAGGGCCUAGCAGAGGAGAAGCUGAAGACUGUGGAGGAAGCAGCAGCUCCCAGAGAAGGGCAAGGAAGCUCUGUUGUGGGCUUUGAAGUUCCACAGCAAGAUGUGAUCCUGCCAGAGUACUAAACCAGCUUCCUUCAGAUCUGGAAGCCAAACACCGGCAUUUUAUGUACUUUGUCCUUCAACAAGAAAGGUGUGGAAGCAUGAUAUGUACUAUAGUGAUUCUGUUUUUGAGGUGCAAAAAAAAUACAUAUAUACCAGUUGGUAAUUCUAACUUCAAUGCAUGUGACUGCUUUAUGAAAAUAAUAGUGUCUUCUAUGGCAUGUAAUGGAUACCUAAUACCGAUGAGUUAAAUUUUGCAAGUUAACACAACACUUAAAAGCAUACAUUUUCAGCAACCAGUGGCACAUAUUUGAAGUGAAUAAGUAGCAAAUUGUUUUUGCUUUGAAAACCUAGCCAUCCUACAUCCUUUGGAUUUCUUCACAAGGCAGUAAUUCCUUUGAGCUACUGCUUAGCUAAUGCUAGGUAGUGCUAAAAAGACAUGUUCCCAUAACUUUUACAACAUUUUACUUUUUAUCAUUGAUGUGUUCAAACUGUUUACAAAGAGAUGCUUGUAGAUGAUAGUUGUACAUAUGUGCAAAAAAAAUUCCCCUUGGAAUGGUAAGAAAUUGAAGUAUCCUUAAAGGCCAUGAAGCCAUAUGUCCCUAAAGCCUGUGUGGAGAAUGCUUUAUUUUAUUCUUAUUUAUAUACACUAUAUUAAUAAUAACCAAAAUGUUCUAAGAUUCUGCCAUUUUACAACCCUGGAGGAAGUAAUUUACAAACUCAUGCUGAGUUCCAUUCUUUCCUUCACCUGCUCUCCAAUAAGAUGACUUUCUGAUAGACAAAGCUUAGGGUGUAAUAAACAGGGAAGAAAAGAAGGUAAGACUGUACUUAAACUGAUGAAGAUAAGAUUGAUUCCUUUUCAUUUUCCAGAUAAAAUUGUAUUUACUCAUGAAUUUAUACAACUUUACAGAUAAGAACAUUUUAAUGGAUAAACUCUAUAAUUACCAAGUUGCAAAUAUUUAGAAAAAUCUAUUUCACAGGUUAGUGCCAAAAUGUCUUCAUAGAGUAGGAAUAAUAUUCCAUUAUAAGAUUAUUCAUCAUUGACUUUAAUAGAGUAAGAAAACAUUAUUCUUUACCAAAGCUCUUUUUUUAUCCAAUUGAUGGUUAUCUACACAUAUCACUUAUAAACUAAAGUUAUUUAUGAAAAGCUA